This is a long non-coding RNA of Nicotiana tabacum (common tobacco), 1080 nucleotides long. RefSeq lists it as uncharacterized. The record is from RefSeq and is a predicted model, not a curated record. NCBI's taxonomy places the organism in Eukaryota, Viridiplantae, Streptophyta, Magnoliopsida, Solanales, Solanaceae.
ACACAAGAGGGGACCCUAAUAUUUAGGAACACCUCCAUAGCUGCCACCCUAUCUUCAACCUCAAAACUCACUGGAAAACACUUCCUAUCAGCGACAUCUGCUGCUGUCCCUUACCCCUCGCCGAUGGAUCUCACAGCAGCCACCGUUGUCGUCGUUGUUGCCUCUUCACCUCACCACCCAAACACACGUUGCUGACCCCUUUCUUCUUCUACGAUCAGAACACCACGCCCUCACCAGCCGCCGACCAGCAACACCCAGCGACGCCCAGUUCUGCAGAUCCAAGAUGACACAAAAUGACUGCUGCUCACCUCCUCACGACCCCCCAAGCAAUGAACCAGAUCUCUUUCUUCACCUCCAUCACUGUCGUGACCCUCCUCGGCGACCUCUCUGUUGGACCCAAAAGAAUGCAAAGCCAUGGCUCCCCACGUUUUCAAAUACACAUGAACACGCAAAUCCAACUCUCUAGUCUUAAAAAGUGUCCAUUGAUCUCUGGCUUAGCGGGGACAGUCAGAUUAUGAGUUCAAUUCGAGGUUGUCAAGUUCGGCGCAAUUCCGAUCGGAAGUUCUGUUCAUAUUCUAGUUUGGACGUCCCCUUCUUCAAUGUAAUACUGGUGCAAUUUUGUUGCUGCUGCUUGUCAUCUUCCUUUUAGUCGGAAUUCUUGUAAUUGUCGGAGAUUCAAAUGUAUUGGAAAUCAAUUCAGUGUCGUUUGCUUCUGUUCGUUGCUGCGUUUUUCUCUAUUUGCAAGUUUGAUAUUGCUUCAGUCAGUUGAUGUGAAGGUUCGCUCACCGAUUCGAGUUACCGUCCGCGGUCCGAUACAUUUUCGAGUUUAAAGUAGUGCAACGAUCAAUUUUCGGCUAUAUCAAGGUGUGGAUCUACGUACCAGGACUCGAGCAUGACAGAUACCCCAGGACAAUUGCGUCCAGGAGUUACUUGAGGAGUCUUUUUAUAUUUUGAGCCUGUUUUUAAGUCUCUUAGGUGGUUUAAGAGUUUGUCGAGUCUUUCAUUAUCAUACUUUCUAUUUUGUAUUUGAAAGACCAAAAAAAUAUAAAUGAAAAAUUCAAAAAGAUUUUUGUUUCUUAA